CCUACGGGAGGCUGCAGUGAGGAAUAUUGGUCAUUGGACGAGAGUCUGAACCAGCCAAGUAGCGUGAAGGAUGACUGCCCUAUGGGUUGUAAACUUCUUUUAUAUGGGAAUAAAAUGUUCCACGUGUGGGAUUUUGUAUGUACCAUAUGAAUAAGGAUCGGCUAACUCCGUGCCAGCAGCCGCGGUAAUACGGAGGAUCCGAGCGUUAUCCGGGUUUAUUGGGUUUAAAGGGAGCGUAGGUGGAUUGUUAAGUCAGUUGUGAAAGUUUGCGGCUCAACCGUAAAAUUGCAGUUGAAACUGGCAGUCUUGAGUACAGUAGAGGUGGGCGGAAUUCGUGGUGUAGCGGUGAAAUGCUUAGAUAUCACGAAGAACUCCGAUUGCGAAGGCAGUUCACUGGACUGCAACUGACACUGAGGCUCGAAAGUGUGGGUAUCAAACAGGAUUAGAUACCCCAGUAGUC
RNAcentral lists this ribosomal RNA (460 nucleotides) under uncultured bacterium. Its description in RNAcentral is "partial 16S ribosomal RNA". It matches the Rfam family "Bacterial small subunit ribosomal RNA", at positions 338 to 795 of the family's 1533-position model. The record is from RNAcentral.